RNAcentral lists this ribosomal RNA (393 nucleotides) under uncultured bacterium. Its description in RNAcentral is "partial 16S ribosomal RNA". It matches the Rfam family "Bacterial small subunit ribosomal RNA", at positions 523 to 918 of the family's 1533-position model. The record is from RNAcentral.
CUACGUAGGGGGCAAGCGUUAUCCGGAUUUACUGGGUGUAAAGGGAGCGUAGACGGAAGGCCAAGUCUGAUGUGAAAGCCCGCGGCUCAACUGCGGGACUGCAUUGGAAACUGGUCAUCUGGAGUGCAGGAGGGGUAAGCGGAAUUCCUAGUGUAGCGGUGAAAUGCGUAGAUAUUAGGAGGAACACCGGUGGCGAGGGCGGCUGGCUGGACUGUAACGGACAGUGAGGCUCGAAAGCGUGGGGAGCAAACAGGAUUAGAUACCCUGGUAGUCCACGCCGUAAACGAUGAGUGCUAGGUGUUGGGGGUCAAACCUCGGUGCCGCAGUUAACACAUUAAGCACUCCGCCUGGGGAGUACGUGCGCAAGCAUGAAACUCAAAGGAAUUGACGGGG